RNAcentral lists this ribosomal RNA (447 nucleotides) under uncultured bacterium. Its description in RNAcentral is "partial 16S ribosomal RNA". It matches the Rfam family "Bacterial small subunit ribosomal RNA", at positions 29 to 523 of the family's 1533-position model. The record is from RNAcentral.
AGCGAAAGCUGGCGGCAGGCUUAGCACAUGCAAGUCGAACGCCCCGCAAGGGGAGUGGCAGACGGGUGAGUAACACGUGGGAACGUACCCUUUGGUUCGGAAUAACUUGGGGAAACUCAAGCUAAUACCGGAUAAGCCCUUAUGGGGAAAGGUUUACUGCCGAAGGAUCGGCCCGCGUCGGAUUAGCUAGUUGGUGAGGUAAUGGCUCACCAAGGCGACGAGCAGUAGCUGGUCUGAGAGGAUGAUCAGCCACACUGGGACUGAGACACGGCCCAGACUCCUACGGGAGGCAGCAGUGGGGAAUAUUGGACAAUGGGGGCAACCCUGAUCCAGCCAUGCCGCGUGAGUGAUGAAGGCCUUAGGGUUGUAAAGCUCUUUUACCCGGGACGAUAAUGACUGUACCGGGAGAAUAAGCCCCGGCUAACUUCGUGCCAGCAGCCGCGGUAA